AUUGAACGCUGGCGGCAUGCCUUACACAUGCAAGUCGAACGGCAGCACGGGAGCAAUCCUGGUGGCGAGUGGCGAACGGGUGAGUAAUAUAUCGGAACGUGCCCAGUAGUGGGGGAUAGCCCGGCGAAAGCCGGAUUAAUACCGCAUACGACCUGUGGGUGAAAGCGGGGGAUCGCAAGACCUCGCGCUAUUGGAGCGGCCGAUAUCAGAUUAGCUAGUGUGGGGUAAAGGCCUACCAAGGCGACGAUCUGUAGCUGGUCUGAGAGGACGACCAGCCACACUGGACUGAGACA
RNAcentral lists this ribosomal RNA (293 nucleotides) under uncultured bacterium. Its description in RNAcentral is "partial 16S ribosomal RNA". It matches the Rfam family "Bacterial small subunit ribosomal RNA", at positions 30 to 326 of the family's 1533-position model. The record is from RNAcentral.